UUAAUUUGGAUCAACUACAUAGAAGCCCCCACACUUUGGUAACAUUUUUAUUAGUUAGAUAAACAAUGGUAACAUUUUUACGGAUGCUGAGUUAUGAUUCUCCUCUGAAAAGACGUGCUAACAAGAGGCUGUUGACCAUGGAAGAGUAGUUUUACACAAUACCUUGUUGAAGUUCAUUAGCUUUGUUCUUGAACUGUUAGUAUAAUAGAAAUUACUGGACACAUAAAGUUGUGAAGUUUCCUUGACUGGAUUCUGUACUUUUGCGGUUUGUAAUUGUCUCUUUAUCCGGCUGGGGUCUACUCAUCUUUGGGGUUUACAAGUUCUUCACUGGAGGCAAAGGCAAGAAGGAAGAGAAACUGCGGAAGCAUCGCACUGAGGUUUGGAGUUUUAGAUAUUCCCAGAACUUGUUUGAAAUAACGAGUUUGCUUGGGUAUAAUGUCCUCAAAUUUCAUUUUCUUUGUCAGCAACUGAUUUUUGAUCAGUCUAUGGAGAUUGAUACAUUGAAAAAAAUAUCGUGGUUAAUGGCUUUGUUGGGAGUUUAUGCCCUGUCCAAUUAUGUCUUUUUUGUAGUUACUUUUGUGAUUUGAUGCAUUAACCUUUCAUGUGUCAAUAAAA
Non-coding RNA from Prunus avium (sweet cherry), 615 nucleotides. The record is from RefSeq and is a predicted model, not a curated record. Lineage: Eukaryota; Viridiplantae; Streptophyta; Magnoliopsida; Rosales; Rosaceae.